CGAACGGGUGAGUAACACGUGGGCAACCUGCCCAAAAGAGGGGGAUAACACUUGGAAACAGGUGCUAAUACCGCAUAACCAUAGUUACCGCAUGGUAGCUAUGUAAAAGGUGGCUAUGCUACCGCUUUUGGAUGGGCCCGCGGCGCAUUAGCUAGUUGGUGGGGUAAAGGCUACCAAGGCAAUGAUGCGUAGCCGAACUGAGAGGUUGAUCGGCCACAUUGGGACUGAGACACGGCCCAAACUCCUACGGAAGGCAGCAG
Molecule: ribosomal RNA, 260 nt
Filed under: uncultured bacterium
Lineage: Bacteria
Description: partial 16S ribosomal RNA
Rfam family: Bacterial small subunit ribosomal RNA
Source: RNAcentral